Molecule: ribosomal RNA, 492 nt
Filed under: uncultured bacterium
Lineage: Bacteria
Description: partial 16S ribosomal RNA
Rfam family: Bacterial small subunit ribosomal RNA
Source: RNAcentral
AGUGAACGCUGGCGGUAGGCCUAACACAUGCAAGUCGAACGGCAGCACAGUAAGAGCUUGCUCUUACGGGUGGCGAGUGGCGGACGGGUGAGGAAUACAUCGGAAUCUACUUUUUCGUGGGGGAUAACGUAGGGAAACCUACGCUAAUACCGCAUACGACCUACGGGUGAAAGCAGGGGAUCUUCGGACCUUGCGCGAUUGAAUGAGCCGAUGUCGGAUUAGCUAGUUGGCGGGGUAAAGGCCCACCAAGGCGACGAUCCGUAGCUGGUCUGAGAGGAUGAUCAGCCACACUGGAACUGAGACACGGUCCAGACUCCUACGGGAGGAAGCAGUGGGGAAGAUUGGACAAUGGGCGCAAGCCUGAUCCAGCCAUACCGCGUGGGUGAAGAAGGCCUUCGGGUUGUAAAGCCCUUUUGUUGGGAAAGAAAAGCAGCAGGUUAAUACCCCGCUGUUCUGACGGUACCCAAAGAAUAAGCACCGGCUAACUUCGUG